CGAAGGCCGCUGGCGGCCACGGGGCCGCGAAGGCCCUGAGGAAGCUCCACCCUCCCCGCGGCACCGGAGUCCCGCGAGGGACCGGGUUGAGAGCCCGGGCUCCGGCACAGAAACGAGACCCCCGGGCCAGAGAGAGGAUGGAGAACUCCUUCCCGGCGACGGGAAGGAUAUCCGGAUCCAUGAAGGCCUAGCGGGGCUGAAACGGCCGUCCUCCGGGGAGCAAGGGGGUCCCCCGAUGCCUCGCCGCGGAAGGGGGACCCGGGGACCGCUUAGCCAAAUGCCGCCGAAGUACAGAAGGUGGGCUAUAGCGGCCUUCG
This 317-nucleotide RNase P RNA is filed under the name Ignicoccus islandicus DSM 13165. Its description in RNAcentral is "Archaeal RNase P". It matches the Rfam family "Archaeal RNase P". Rfam says of the family: Ribonuclease P (RNase P) is a ubiquitous endoribonuclease, found in archaea, bacteria and eukarya as well as chloroplasts and mitochondria. Its best characterised activity is the generation of mature 5'-ends of tRNAs by cleaving the 5'-leader elements of precursor-tRNAs. Cellular RNase Ps are ribonucleoproteins. Lineage: Archaea; Thermoproteati; Thermoproteota; Thermoprotei; Desulfurococcales; Desulfurococcaceae. The record is from Rfam by way of RNAcentral.